AACGAACGCUGGCGGCAGGCUUAACACAUGCAAGUCGAACGCGUGUAGCAAUACACGAGUGGCGCACGGGUGAGUAACGCGUGGAUAUCUGCCUUUUGGUUCGGAAUAACCCCGGGAACUGGGGCUAAUACCGGAUGGUUCCUUCGGGAUAAAGAUUUAUCGCCAAAAGAUGAGUCCGCGUACGAUUAGCUAGUUGGUGAGGUAAUGGCUCACCAAGGCGACGAUCGUUAGCUGGUCNG
This 239-nucleotide ribosomal RNA is filed under the name uncultured bacterium. RNAcentral describes it as "partial 16S ribosomal RNA". It matches the Rfam family "Bacterial small subunit ribosomal RNA", at positions 29 to 294 of the family's 1533-position model. The record is from RNAcentral.